CAACUGUUCAUGCAGUGACGGUAUCUGACCAGAAAGUCACGGCUAACUACGUGCCAGCAGCCGCGGUAAUACGUAGGUGGCAAGCGUUGUCCGGAUUUAUUGGGCGUAAAGGGAACGCAGGCGGUCUUUUAAGUCUGAUGUGAAAGCCUUCGGCUUAACCGAAGUCGUGCAUUGGAAACUGGGGGACUUGAGUGCAGAAGAGGAGAGUGGAACUCCAUGUGUAGCGGUGAAAUGCGUAGAUAUAUGGAAGAACACCAGUGGCGAAGGCGGCUGUCUGGUCUGCAACUGACGCUGAAGCUCGAAAGCAUGGGUAGCGAACAGGAUUAGAUACCCUGGUAGUCCAUGCCGUAAACGAUGAGUGCUAAGUGUUGGAGGGUUUCCGCCCUUCAGUGCUGCAGCUAACGCAUUAAGCACUCCGCCUGGGGAGUACGACCGCAAGGUUGAAACUCAAAGGAAUUGACGGGGGCCCGCACAAGCGGUGGAGCAUGUGGUUUAAUUCGAUGCUACGCGAAGAACCUUACCAGGUCUUGACAUCUUCUGCUAACCUAAGAGAUUAGGCGUUCCCUUCGGGGACGGAAUGACAGGUGGUGCAUGGUUGUCGUCAGCUCGUGUCGUGAGAUGUUGGGUUAAGUCCCGCAACGAGCGCAACCCCUAUUGUCAGUUGCCAGCAUUUAGUUGGGCACUCUGGCGAGACUGCCGGUGACAAACCGGAGGAAGGUGGGGAUGACGUCAAAUCAUCAUGCCCCUUAUGACCUGGGCUACACACGUGCUACAAUGGACGGUACAACGAGUCGCGAAACCGCGAGGUCAAGCUAAUCUCUGAAAGCCGUUCUCAGUUCGGAUUGCAGGCUGCAACUCGCCUGCAUGAAGUUGGAAUCGCUAGUAAUCGUGGAUCAGCAUGCCACGGUGAAUACGUUCCCGGGCCUUGUACACACCGCCCGUCACACCAUGAGAGUUUGUAACACCCAAAGCCGGUGAGGUAACCUUCGGGGGCCAGCCGUCUAAAGUGGGACAGAUGAUUAGGGUGAAGUCGUAACAAGGUAGCCGUAGGAGAACCUGCGGCUGGAUCACCUCCUUAA
This 1079-nucleotide ribosomal RNA is filed under the name uncultured bacterium. RNAcentral's name for it is "bacterial SSU rRNA". It matches the Rfam family "Bacterial small subunit ribosomal RNA", at positions 454 to 1533 of the family's 1533-position model. The record is from RNAcentral.